ACCUAGGGUAGAGGUGCGGUAAUUAAAAGUAUUUGAAAGUAGUCGGCAGAUGAUGAUAUUCAAAGAAAGGAAUUAUUGCCGAAAAGGUAAUCUUUGCAAAGAUUAUUUUUGGGGUUAUACAUAAUAUGUAUAGCACUGUCACUUAUUUUUAAGUGGUGAGCUACAAGGUUU
Molecule: regulatory RNA element, 171 nt
Organism: Terrisporobacter sp.
Lineage: Bacteria; Bacillati; Bacillota; Clostridia; Peptostreptococcales; Peptostreptococcaceae
Rfam family: Lysine riboswitch aptamer
About the family: Riboswitches are metabolite binding domains within certain messenger RNAs that serve as precision sensors for their corresponding targets.
Source: Rfam